This 235-nucleotide long non-coding RNA is filed under the name Lathyrus oleraceus (garden pea). RNAcentral describes it as "Pisum sativum (pea) long non-coding RNA (PSAT_LNC016645)". The record is from RNAcentral. Lineage: Eukaryota; Viridiplantae; Streptophyta; Magnoliopsida; Fabales; Fabaceae.
UUGAUUGAAUGUGCUUCAUGUGAAAUAUUGACUUCUGUUUUGGUCAUUUGACUUGCCUUUGAUCCUAGUCUUUGUACUAGUGGUUUGUACAUAACUAAUUGAGCUUUGUGUUUCAGGUUUGAGCAUUUGGCACUAAUGGUUGGUUGGGUUUCACUAUUUGAGAUGCAAGUUGCUUUGAUUACUAACUCUUGUUGUCUUGUAGGUCAAUGGAUGUAAUGAAUUCACUUGAGUGCUU